ACAACAAGAACAAGAAAGCACACCCAAUAACAAGAACAACACGUAGCGACUCCGACACAAUAAAAACAAGCAGGUGGGAGACGUAGCAAACUGAUUCUUUUGGAGAGGAAUUGCCCGACAGGUUUCCUGUCGACCGGACCGAGAACAAUAAAACUGCCUUGAGGCAGCUCCAGAACCGGUUGAGCCCGCGAGGGCAGUGGCAACAUCAGCGACCAAAAUAAUCCGUUUGUUCUUUAUGUCCCGAAUGGGACUGCUAUGCGGACGAUGGUCCGAUCGGGCUGCGAACAAAAACAACAAGCCCGUCAGCAGAAGAAGAACAAAGCAACACGCCCUGAAGGGGAGCCUAGCGGCUCCCCUUUUUAUUUGGUUCUUCGCGGACUCU
RNAcentral lists this small RNA (382 nucleotides) under Stutzerimonas stutzeri A1501. Its description in RNAcentral is "Pseudomonas stutzeri A1501 Pseudomonas sRNA CrcZ". It matches the Rfam family "Pseudomonas sRNA CrcZ". Lineage: Bacteria; Pseudomonadati; Pseudomonadota; Gammaproteobacteria; Pseudomonadales; Pseudomonadaceae. The record is from Rfam by way of RNAcentral.